This is a long non-coding RNA of Pomacea canaliculata, 178 nucleotides long. RefSeq lists it as uncharacterized. The record is from RefSeq and is a predicted model, not a curated record. Lineage: Eukaryota; Metazoa; Mollusca; Gastropoda; Architaenioglossa; Ampullariidae. The transcript has 4 exons.
GAGACUCUGGGCAGAGGAAGGGUGUGUGGACUCAAAGUGUUCUCCCCUACGAAAGUAGUACAGAGGCCUACAGAUGGGAGCAGUGAUCCGUACGAAAAUGUAAGAGGAAACUUACCAAGAAACCAGAGUUCCAUGAAAUGAAGCUGGAGAGCAGAGUGGCAUAGAGAGCGUACCCCGA